GGCCAAAGGACUCAGUCAGUUAGAGUGUGGUGCUGGUAACACCAAGGUCACGGGUUUGAUUCCCGCUUGGUCCC
This 74-nucleotide transfer RNA is filed under the name Apaloderma vittatum (bar-tailed trogon). It matches the Rfam family "tRNA". From Rfam's summary of the family: Transfer RNA (tRNA) molecules are approximately 80 nucleotides in length. Lineage: Eukaryota; Metazoa; Chordata; Aves; Trogoniformes; Trogonidae. The record is from Rfam by way of RNAcentral.